Molecule: ribosomal RNA, 509 nt
Filed under: uncultured bacterium
Lineage: Bacteria
Description: partial 16S ribosomal RNA
Rfam family: Bacterial small subunit ribosomal RNA (bases 20-332)
Source: RNAcentral
GACGAACGCUGGCGGCGUGCUUAACACAUGCAAGUCGAACGGAAAGGCCCUGCUUUUGUGGGGUGCUCGAGUGGCGAACGGGUGAGUAACACGUGAGUAACCUGCCCUUGACUUUGGGAUAACUUCAGGAAACUGGGGCUAAUACCGGAUAGGAGCUCCUGCUGCAUGGUGGGGGUUGGAAAGUUUCGGCGGUUGGGGAUGGACUCGCGGCUUAUCAGCUUGUUGGUGGGGUAGUGGCUUACCAAGGCUUUGACGGGUAGCCGGCCUGAGAGGGUGACCGGCCGCAGGGGGAGGGAGAGAGGGCGGCGGCGCGGGCGGGAGGCGGGAGGGGGGAGGAUGGGGGAAGAGGCGGGAGCCGGGGGGAGCCGGGGGGCGUGGGGGAGGACGGCGUGGGGGGUGUAAACCGCGGUGGCGGGGGGGGAGGGGGGGGGGAGGGGAAGGAAAAAAGAGGCGCCGGCUAACUGCGUGAGAGCAGCCGCGGUAAUAAGAGGAAGAGAAAACGUCUGAGC